RNAcentral lists this transfer RNA (82 nucleotides) under Myxococcales bacterium. RNAcentral describes it as "tRNA-Ser". It matches the Rfam family "tRNA". From Rfam's summary of the family: Transfer RNA (tRNA) molecules are approximately 80 nucleotides in length. Their secondary structure includes four short double-helical elements and three loops (D, anti-codon, and T loops). Further hydrogen bonds mediate the characteristic L-shaped molecular structure. tRNAs have two regions of fundamental functional importance: the anti-codon, which is responsible for specific mRNA codon recognition, and the 3' end, to which the tRNAs corresponding amino acid is attached (by aminoacyl-tRNA synthetases). tRNAs cope with the degeneracy of the genetic code in two manners: having more than one tRNA (with a specific anti-codon) for a particular amino acid; and 'wobble' base-pairing, i.e. permitting non-standard base-pairing at the 3rd anti-codon position. Lineage: Bacteria; Pseudomonadati; Myxococcota; Myxococcia; Myxococcales. The record is from RNAcentral.
GGAGGUGUGGCAGAGCGGUCAAUCGCGCCCGUUUCGAAAGCGGGAGUCCAAGGACACGUGGGUUCGAAUCCCACCACCUCCU